RNAcentral lists this ribosomal RNA (254 nucleotides) under uncultured bacterium. Its description in RNAcentral is "partial 16S ribosomal RNA". It matches the Rfam family "Bacterial small subunit ribosomal RNA", at positions 524 to 776 of the family's 1533-position model. The record is from RNAcentral.
UACGUAGGGACCGAGCGUUGUCCGGAUUCAUUGGGCGUAAAGAGCUCGUAGGCGGUUCAGUUAGUCGGGUGUGAAAUCUCCGGGCUCAACCCGGAGGGGCCACCCGAUACUGCUGUGACUCGAGUCCGGUAGGGGAGUGGGGAAUUCCUGGUGUAGCGGUGAAAUGCGCAGAUAUCAGGAAGAACACCCGUGGCGAAGGCGGUUCUCUGGGACGGUACUGACGCUGAGACGCGAAAGCGUGGGGAGCGAACAGG